AUUAAACGCUGGCGGCAUGCCUUACACAUGCAAGUCGAACGGCAGCACGGGGGCAACCCUGGUGGCGAGUGGCGGACGGGUGAGUAAUGCAUCGGAACGUGCCCUGAAGUGGGGGAUAACGCAGCGAAAGCUACGCUAAUACCGCAUAUUCUGUGAGCAGGAAAGCAGGGGAUCGCAAGACCUUGCGCUUUGGGAGCGGCCGAUGUCGGAUUAGCUAGUUGGUGGGGUAAAGGCCUACCAAGGCGACGAUCCGUAGCGGGUCUGAGAGGAUGAUCCGCCACACUGGGACUGAGACACGGCCCAGACUCCUACGGGAGGCAGCAGUGGGGAAUUUUGGACAAUGGGCGGAAGCCUGAUCCAGCCAUGCCGCGUGAGUGAAGAAGGCCUCGGUUGUAAGU
Molecule: ribosomal RNA, 398 nt
Filed under: uncultured bacterium
Lineage: Bacteria
Description: bacterial SSU rRNA
Rfam family: Bacterial small subunit ribosomal RNA
Source: RNAcentral